Molecule: long non-coding RNA, 745 nt
Filed under: Rattus norvegicus (Norway rat)
Lineage: Eukaryota; Metazoa; Chordata; Mammalia; Rodentia; Muridae
Description: long non-coding RNA NONRATT012638
Source: RNAcentral
AGCGCUUGGCGCAUCCUCUUUGAAAGAAAUGGGACUUAGAACCUCUCCAAUGGGCCUUGGUAAGGGACUUGGGGAGGGGGAGCUUUGAUGGGAUCGCUUAAGGGAUUUGGGGUAAAGGGUUGCCUCGGGAGGAACAGACGACGAAACCAUCUGCCGCUGGAGCUUGACUUCUGGGAGAAGUGCGAAGGGCUUGAGCAGAUUGAUUAUAAGCUGUGUCGCCAAAGUGUUUGUCUGGCCCAAUGGAAAGCGUCAGGAACUGGCAAAAUGUUUUAGAGAAAGCAACCAGUGAGUUGAAUACUGCUGAGGACUGGGGCCUCAUCUUGGAUAUUUGUGAUAAGGUUGGCCAAUCUCGCACAGGGCCUAAAGAUUGUCUUCGUUCUAUUAUGAGAAGAGUGAACCAUAAAGACCCCCAUGUUGCUAUGCAGGCUUUAACUCUUCUAGGAGCAUGUGUAUCAAACUGUGGCAAAAUUUUUCACUUAGAAGUGUGUUCAAGGGAUUUCGCUAGCGAAGUAAGCAAUGUGUUAAAUAAGGGCCAUCCUAAAGUAUGUGAAAAAUUAAAGGCUCUUAUGGUUGAAUGGACAGAUGAAUUUAAGAAUGACCCACAGCUAAGUCUGAUAUCGGCAAUGAUUAAGAACCUCAAGGAACAGGGUGUAACAUUCCCAGCCAUCGGCUCUCAGGCUGCAGAACAAGCGAAAGCAAGCCCGGCUCUGGUAGCCAAGGACCCUGGCACUGUGGCUACCAAAAA